UACGUAGGGAGCAAGCGUUGUCCGGAUUUACUGGGUGUAAAGGGUGCGUAGGCGGCUCUGCAAGUCAGGCGUGAAAGCUAUGGGCUUAACCCAUAGACUGCGUUUGAAACUGUGGAGCUUGAGUGAAGUAGAGGUAGGCGGAAUUCCCGGUGUAGCGGUGAAAUGCGUAGAGAUCGGGAGGAACACCAGUGGCGAAGGCGGCCUACUGGGCUUUAACUGACGCUGAGGCACGAAAGCAUGGGUAGCAAACAGG
This 253-nucleotide ribosomal RNA is filed under the name uncultured bacterium. Its description in RNAcentral is "partial 16S ribosomal RNA". It matches the Rfam family "Bacterial small subunit ribosomal RNA", at positions 524 to 776 of the family's 1533-position model. The record is from RNAcentral.